UGCGUAGGGCGCAAGCGUUGUCCGGAAUUAUUGGGCGUAAAGAGCUCGUAGGCGGUCCAUCACGUCGGGAGUGAAAAGCUGGGGCUUAACCCCAGUCCUGCUUCCGAUACGGGUGGACUAGAGGUAGGCAGGGGAGAACGGAAUUCCUGGUGUAGCGGUGAAAUGCGCAGAUAUCAGGAGGAACACCGGUGGCGAAGGCGGUUCUCUGGGCCUUACCUGACGCUGAGGAGCGAAAGCGUGGGGAGCAAACAGG
This 253-nucleotide ribosomal RNA is filed under the name uncultured bacterium. Its description in RNAcentral is "partial 16S ribosomal RNA". It matches the Rfam family "Bacterial small subunit ribosomal RNA", at positions 524 to 776 of the family's 1533-position model. The record is from RNAcentral.